Molecule: ribosomal RNA, 294 nt
Filed under: Salmonella enterica subsp. enterica serovar Typhimurium
Lineage: Bacteria; Pseudomonadati; Pseudomonadota; Gammaproteobacteria; Enterobacterales; Enterobacteriaceae
Description: partial 16S ribosomal RNA
Rfam family: Bacterial small subunit ribosomal RNA
Source: RNAcentral
AAAUUGAAGAGUUUGAUCAUGGCUCAGAUUGAACGCUGGCGGCAGGCCUAACACAUGCAAGUCGAACGGUAACAGGAAGCAGCUUGCUGCUUCGCUGACGAGUGGCGGACGGGUGAGUAAUGUCUGGGAAACUGCCUGAUGGAGGGGGAUAACUACUGGAAAUGGUGGCUAAUACCGGAUAACGGCGUAAGAGCAAAGAGGCGGACCUUCGGGCCUCUUGCCAUCAGACGUGCCCAGAUGGGAUUAGCUUGUUGGUGCGGCAACGGCCCACCAAGGCGCCGAGCCCUAUCUGGU